This 250-nucleotide ribosomal RNA is filed under the name uncultured prokaryote. Its description in RNAcentral is "partial 16S ribosomal RNA". It matches the Rfam family "Bacterial small subunit ribosomal RNA", at positions 524 to 774 of the family's 1533-position model. The record is from RNAcentral.
UACGUAGAGAGCGAGCGUUGUCCGGAUUUAUUGGGCGUAAAACGUCCGCAUCCGGUUUAUUAAGUGUAGAAUUAAAGCCCGGGGCUUAACUCCGGUUCGUUCUACAAACUGAUAGGCUAGAGUGUAGUAGAGGCAAGUGGAAUUUCUAGUGUAGCGGUGGAAUGCGUAGAUAUUAGAAGGAACACCAGUGGCGAAGGCGACUUGCUGGGCUAUUACUGACGGUCAGGGACGAAAGCGUGGGGAGCAAAUA